Long non-coding RNA from Girardinichthys multiradiatus, 418 nucleotides. RefSeq lists it as uncharacterized. NCBI's taxonomy places the organism in Eukaryota, Metazoa, Chordata, Actinopteri, Cyprinodontiformes, Goodeidae. The transcript has 2 exons. The record is from RefSeq and is a predicted model, not a curated record.
GGAGUCUCCAUCUUCUGCCUGAGGAUGCGCACCACGCCGGAUGGGCGUGGUUUGCACACCAAUUCAUACGGCGAGUCUAGGAUCAGAUCCCCCAGGAUGUAUGAAGUUUGGUGUGGAGAAAGUUUACUGGCCUUGUCGGAAUCCUGAUCACCAGACCCAACAAAGCAGAUGACCUGAAGGCAGCUACCAAAGCAACCUGGGCUGCCAUUACAUCUCAGCAGAACCAUAGGCUGAUCGUCUCCAUGCCACGCUGCAUUGAUGCAGUAAUUCAUGCAAAAGGAGGCCCAACUAGGCACUAAGUGCAUACAAAUGAUCAUACUUGUCAGAAGCCUGACAUUUUUGUUUAAAAUAUGUUUUUUAUUCAUCAUAUGUAAUAUUCUAAUUUCCUGAGACAAUAAAUUUUGGAUUUUGGAAUUAA